Molecule: long non-coding RNA, 679 nt
Filed under: Olea europaea subsp. europaea
Lineage: Eukaryota; Viridiplantae; Streptophyta; Magnoliopsida; Lamiales; Oleaceae
Source: RNAcentral
GGGAAGAAUGAGGAUUAUGGAGAGAUUGGGAUUUCAAGGGUGGUUGCCUCUCUUCAAAGUCGAUGAUUUUUCCCCAUUACUAGCAACAAAAAAUCAACAGCCCUUGGAAAAUUGCAGAGGAAGCAGCAGCAUAUAUGAUUGUGAAACAUUCCAUUGAUUUUACUAUACAUCCUUCUGGGUUUGCCGAGAAAUUAUGCAUUUUCAUCUACUAUUACUCACUUUUUCCAUCACCAUUUCUUAAGGCUGUGAUGAUGCAUCUCAUUCUUCCGAGCUCAUCAAUUAGGCAUCGAGACAAUUCGACCCGUAUCUUGGCGUGGCGACCCGGAUUGUACUUGAUUUUAGAUUUUUCUGUCUCAAGAGCAACCGGUGAUUUUGCAGCCAUGGCAUGGUUGAUUCUCUUUGUCGAUCAAGAUCUCAGAUCUGAGCCUUAUUUUCAAUUUUUCCCCUAGUUUGGAAAUUUUGAUUUUGAAGCAUUGUUUUGUUAAAUAAUAAGAAAUUUUUACACCUAUAUUUAGAUGAAUAUUUCAUAAAACAAUUAUUUAUUUAUUUAUUUUUUGCAUUAUUUACAGAAUUGCCUCCCUCAGUCCCUUGAAUCCCAAAGAUCUCAAUUGCAGUCAAAUAAGGGGCAUAUUUGGAACAUUGAGCUACUAGGGUUAGCAGCUUGGAAGGUAAGAAUGAG